This 401-nucleotide ribosomal RNA is filed under the name Aromatoleum sp. RNAcentral describes it as "bacterial SSU rRNA". It matches the Rfam family "Bacterial small subunit ribosomal RNA", at positions 803 to 1204 of the family's 1533-position model. The record is from RNAcentral. Lineage: Bacteria; Pseudomonadati; Pseudomonadota; Betaproteobacteria; Rhodocyclales; Rhodocyclaceae.
UAAACGAUGUCGACUAGUCGUUCGGAGAGGUAACUCACUGAGUGACGCAGCUAACGCGUGAAGUCGACCGCCUGGGGAGUACGGCCGCAAGGUUAAAACUCAAAGGAAUUGACGGGGACCCGCACAAGCGGUGGAUGAUGUGGAUUAAUUCGAUGCAACGCGAAAAACCUUACCUACCCUUGACAUGCCUGGAAUCCUUGAGAGAUCAGGGAGUGCCUUCGGGAACCAGGACACAGGUGCUGCAUGGCUGUCGUCAGCUCGUGUCGUGAGAUGUUGGGUUAAGUCCCGCAACGAGCGCAACCCUUGUCGCUAAUUGCCAUCAUUUAGUUGGGCACUUUAGCGAGACUGCCGGUGACAAACCGGAGGAAGGUGGGGAUGACGUCAAGUCCUCAUGGCCCUUA